UUUUUAUUUCCAAAUUCCCCCUCCCUUCGAAACCCUAAAUUUCUCCCCUAAAAUUGGUAUCCUCAAAACUCUCUUUUCACACACGCCGUUUUCAUCGGUUUACCUUGGAACCCAUACGAUCCCUUCCCCUUUCCCUGUCUCUUUCCCUUUCCCUUUGGCUUUGAAAAAAUUCAAUUCUUAUAUUCAUUAUUCUGUUCUUAAUUUCGGUUUUGAUCUACUUGCAAGAAAGAAUCAAGAGUAUUUUUCAGGUUUUGACGAUGAUGAUGGUGAUGGUGAAGCGGCGGUGAAUCAGUACGUAGCGGAUUUAUCGGUGGGCAGUCCGUUGAGUAUGGACAAGCCUUUCUGGGAACUACACCUCUUAAAGGCGCACAAUUGUGUCGUUUUCAGGAUUCAUCAUGCUUUAGGGGAUGGGUUUUCGUUGAUGUCCAUGUUGAUGGCUGGAAGCGGGAAGGUAGAUGUUCCCGCGGCGGUUCCUCCCAUUAAGACUGAGGGAAUUAAGAGCGGGAAAAGAAGGGACAGGUUCUGGUUGUUAAGUCUUCUCUGGGGGGUUUUAAGAUGGUCCGUUACACUUUGGUGUUUGUGCUGGAGUUUGUGGUGAGGAGCUUGUUUGUGUGCGACCGGAAAACAGUGAUAUCAGGCGGAGAUGGCGUCGAACUCUGGCCGAGGAAAUUGGCCACCGCUAAGUUCUUACUUGAAGACAUGAAGGAGGUUAAAAGGGCUAUUCCAAAUACAACCAUUAAUGAUGUUCUGCUUGCAAUGGUGUCAUCUGGGCUAUCAAGAUACUUAGAGCACCGAACACCAGACGGUUCAGAGUGAUCAUCAUGAGGUUGUUGCUGAUUUGGUACAGACAGGUUUUCUCUAAAGAAUUAUUGUUUUUAUGAUUGUAGCUACUGGUGCCGAUGGUAGUACAAAGUGUGAGUGAAAUGGUAGAGAAAUGGGGGAGGAGCAGAUCCGGGGAGAUUGAAAUUGAAGUUUGCGAAUGGUUUCAGAGACUUACGGAAGAUGUGAUAAUGCGUACAGUGUUUGGGAGCUGGUAUGAAGAUGAUGAUGGGAAAGCCAUUUUUCGUUUACAAGCACAACAAAUGGUGCUUGCUACUCAGGCUUUGCGAAUUGUUUCCUUACCUGCCAAUAGGUCCUUCUCUGGAAAAGGAUUGCGUUUUUUGUUGAGUUCAGAUCAACAGGACUGAAUCAGAUUUGAAGUUCUAAAUAUUUUGAAGCAUGUAACCUUUGGUGACAACAGCGUGCAGUCCUUGCAUCUGGCUUAGAAAUUGUAAUACUUUGUGUGUCUGUGUGUGUGUGUGUUUUUUAUGUAUUAAAUUACAUAUUGAAUCAGUGUUUAUCUAUUAAAUUUAAUUUAUUAAUUUUUAUAUUUAA
RNA transcript from Gossypium arboreum, 1374 nucleotides. It is a transcript of the gene named cytochrome P450 734A1-like, with no coding region annotated. The transcript has 5 exons. Lineage: Eukaryota; Viridiplantae; Streptophyta; Magnoliopsida; Malvales; Malvaceae. The record is from RefSeq and is a predicted model, not a curated record.